Molecule: ribosomal RNA, 537 nt
Filed under: Diaporthe eres
Lineage: Eukaryota; Fungi; Ascomycota; Sordariomycetes; Diaporthales; Diaporthaceae
Description: eukaryotic LSU rRNA
Rfam family: 5.8S ribosomal RNA (bases 159-312)
Source: RNAcentral
GCNCCCNGAACCCUUUGUGAACUUAUACCUUACUGUUGCCUCGGCGCUAGCUGGUCCUUCGGGGCCCCUCACCCCCGGGUGUUGAGACAGCCCGCCGGCGGCCAACCCAACUCUUGUUUUUACACUGAAACUCUGAGAAUAAAACAUAAAUGAAUCAAAACUUUCAACAACGGAUCUCUUGGUUCUGGCAUCGAUGAAGAACGCAGCGAAAUGCGAUAAGUAAUGUGAAUUGCAGAAUUCAGUGAAUCAUCGAAUCUUUGAACGCACAUUGCGCCCUCUGGUAUUCCGGAGGGCAUGCCUGUUCGAGCGUCAUUUCAACCCUCAAGCCUGGCUUGGUGAUGGGGCACUGCUUCUUACCCAAGGAGCAGGCCCUGAAAUUCAGUGGCGAGCUCGCCAGGACCCCGAGCGCAGUAGUUAAACCCUCGCUCUGGAAGGCCCUGGCGGUGCCCUGCCGUUAAACCCCCAACUUCUGAAAAUUUGACCUCGGAUCAGGUAGGAAUACCCGCUGAACUUAAGCAUAUCAAUAAGNCGGAGGAA